UGCUUGUUAAAUGCUUCUCCCUCUCCUGUAACUUUCAAAAUAGAACAAUUUUAUUGAAUAUAUUUGUCUAUGUGAUUACAGGUAUUUCUGAUGCCCAUUUUGUUCUUUCCUCCCGCCAUUUGAUGUCAUCUUAAAAACAAGUUGAAGAGUAAAUCUUAUCAGAAGAGAAGAAUAUCUGUCUCAGGAUGACUCUUCAUGGGCUAACAGUCAAGUCCUUGUAUCCCACCUUACAGCCAGAAAAUCAUAUCAUUAUUUUCAAAACUUCAUUAAGCAGGAAAUGAAUAUAUACAUUGUGCCCUCCGCACUGCGGUGUGGUUUUGCCUGAACAUGCCAUUAUAAUUUUUUUCCAGAACAUUUAAUUUUUUUGAAAAAUAUUUAGGGCUCUUUCAUGCCUUGUUUGAAUUUGUGGCAAUUAUUUAUAAUUUAUUUUAAUCAGAACCACAGAGAGCUAGUAAACAAGUCCCUCCAGGCUAGCUUGGAAAAGCUUGAAGAAACUGCUGCCAUUCCUCUGCCAGGCGCAGUAAGGAAAGCAAAACUGGGAACUGGUAAUCUUUGUGUAAUUCCAUUUGGAGAUACAGCUGUUUUAUGAGAAACUGUGAGACACAUUAUAAAGAGACUAUGAGCAGAGAACAAAAGCAGUUCUUUUAAAGAGGCUUCUUUCUUUGAAAUUUCCCUGCAGCUCUCUUAUGGUUCCCUGUAACCUCUCCCUUCCUUGUACACCAACUCAUGGCCUCCAGAUGAUAAAAGGAUUGUAUUUUAGCUGAAGAUUUGCAGAAGAAAAAUAACUGAGUUUUUUUUUUAACCUGUCUCUGAGCAAAUUAAAGUUGAAUGUAAGUGUUGGCAUCUGUCUCUAAUGUGAAUUGCAGGUACAACUGAACAGCUCCAGUUGUGCUCGGGGACAAGCAGUUCUGGAAAAAUCAGUAGCCGGUAGCUGGAACCCACUGAUUCUGUGAGAAGCCAUUGCCACCAAGAGAAAUACACCAUUUCAUGGAGCAGAAUUGGAAGUCACAAGCUGCUUUGCUAGAAAAUGAUUCCAUCGACCUCACCAAGGAACAGGAGGAGCUGCUCGAGGAGUUAGUUCAUCACAUACUGUGGGACAACUGCCCUCUGCUUUUCAGACCCAUGUCCUGGAACAGAUUUUCAGGCUUGUGCUUGCUGUUGAGCCUGUUAUUCUGGAGAAGAUUUUCUUCUUCUUCUUCUUUUUCUUCUUUUUUUUAAAACUAGGUAAGUGCAAAAAUGAUUUAAAAAAUCACUAGCCAUAUAUUCUAGGCUGCUAUUC
Molecule: long non-coding RNA, 1279 nt
Filed under: Struthio camelus australis
Lineage: Eukaryota; Metazoa; Chordata; Aves; Struthioniformes; Struthionidae
Description: lncRNA (ENSSCUG00000018184.1)
Source: RNAcentral